This is a non-coding RNA of Otolemur garnettii (small-eared galago), 77 nucleotides long. The record is from Rfam. NCBI's taxonomy places the organism in Eukaryota, Metazoa, Chordata, Mammalia, Primates, Galagidae.
CACCAUUUUUGGCAAUGGUAGAACUCACACUGGUGAGGUAAUGGGAUCCGGUGGUUCUAGACUUGCCAACUAUGGUG